Molecule: ribosomal RNA, 305 nt
Filed under: uncultured bacterium
Lineage: Bacteria
Description: bacterial SSU rRNA
Rfam family: Bacterial small subunit ribosomal RNA
Source: RNAcentral
GCCUACGGGGGGCAGCAGUAGGGAGUAUUGCUCAAUGGGGGAAACCCUGAAGCAGCAACGCCGCGUGGAGGAUGAAGGUUUUCGGAUUGUAAACUCCUUUUGUUAGAGAAGAUAAUGACGGUAUCUAACGAAUAAGCACCGGCUAACUCCGUGCCAGCAGCCGCGGUAAUACGGAGGGUGCAAGCGUUACUCGGAAUCACUGGGCGUAAAGAGCGCGUAGGCGGGAUAGCAAGUCAGAUGUGAAAUCCUAUGGCUUAACCAUAGAACUGCAUUUGAAACUGUUUUUCUUGAGUACCGGAGAGGUC